UGGGGAAUAUUGGACAAUGGGCGAAAGCCUGAUCCAGCCAUGCCGCGUGUGUGAAGAAGGUCUUCGGAUUGUAAAGCACUUUAAGUUGGGAGGAAGGGUUGUAGAUUAAUACUCUGCAAUUUUGACGUUACCGACAGAAUAAGCACCGGCUAACUCUGUGCCAGCAGCCGCGGUAAUACAGAGGGUGCAAGCGUUAAUCGGAAUUACUGGGCGUAAAGCGCGCGUAGGUGGUUUGUUAAGUUGGAUGUGAAAUCCCCGGGCUCAACCUGGGAACUGCAUCCAAAACUGGCAAGCUAGAGUAUGGUAGAGGGUGGUGGAAUUUCCUGUGUAGCGGUGAAAUGCGUAGAUAUAGGAAGGAACACCAGUGGCGAAGGCGACCACCUGGACUGAUACUGACACUGAGGUGCGAAAGCGUGGGGAGCAAACAGGAUUAGAUACCCGUGUAGUCCCUGAGCGGGCUGGCAAGGCGCAU
Molecule: ribosomal RNA, 472 nt
Filed under: uncultured bacterium
Lineage: Bacteria
Description: bacterial SSU rRNA
Rfam family: Bacterial small subunit ribosomal RNA
Source: RNAcentral